Molecule: long non-coding RNA, 857 nt
Organism: Aedes albopictus (Asian tiger mosquito)
Lineage: Eukaryota; Metazoa; Arthropoda; Insecta; Diptera; Culicidae
Exons: 3
Source: RefSeq, a predicted model, not a curated record
CGGGGAAUCGAAAUAACUCAAAACGGAGAUAAAAAGUACUUAAAAUUAAGUAUUGUGACAACACUUGCUUUUUGGGUACAAACCGAACUGAUCGCGAGGUACUUUUUACUUAAACUUGGCGUUAUCAACAAAGACUUGCUUUUGGGUGAAUUGAGAGUUGUUAUUUGUUUUGUUUUUCCCUAGCUGAGGAAGUACCCAAAAUGAAGUGCUGCGGUCGCACUUCAUUUUGGAUGAAAAUUUAUUGUGCGCCAUGUUUGUUUCAGAGUUCGACAGAUUUCGUUGUGAAUUACGUGCUUCUUCGCUAAACCCAUCUAUACAUCGACGCGCUACCGCAGAUCCCGAAGGCACCCGAGGACAAAUCGAACAUAAAGUUGAGCCGGUUCGAAAAUGGAAGAGAUUAGUUUCAGAACAAAAUCGCCGCAAAACAAUCGCAGGGCGGAACCAGAGCUGGAGGUGGAGCCAGAUAGGGCGACGCAACGUGACUACCGUGGGAAGAGCACAAGUUCCGGCUAACGGUGCCUCGAGCAAUAUUAUUUAUUGAAUUUAUUUUUUAUGUGCUCUUUAUGAUGUAUUUUUUAUGAAACUGCAAUAAAGUUAAUUCCACCUCAAUAACUUCCAAACAUCACUUUACAUUGUAUUCUGAAUUAAAUUUCCAAAAAAAAAAUCUUUUUUGUGAGACUAGAUUUUGGGUUAAUUUGAGCCAAAACGCACUGUUCUCAAAAAAGUCAAUUUCAUCCAAAACGGCCUUUUAGUGAAACAACUCAAAUUUGAGUACUUUGCGAAUAACUCAAAUUUGACUGGUUUUACUUAGCUGUCAAGAUGGAUGAAAAUGACUCAAUUUUGAGUUAUUUCGUUUC